Molecule: non-coding RNA, 24 nt
Filed under: Arabidopsis thaliana (thale cress)
Lineage: Eukaryota; Viridiplantae; Streptophyta; Magnoliopsida; Brassicales; Brassicaceae
Source: RNAcentral
ACCUCCACUUUUGCCUUCUGGUUC